Molecule: long non-coding RNA, 1128 nt
Filed under: Musa acuminata (dwarf banana)
Lineage: Eukaryota; Viridiplantae; Streptophyta; Magnoliopsida; Zingiberales; Musaceae
Description: long non-coding RNA (MACU_LNC003082)
Source: RNAcentral
UUCAGAAUUUGGCACAUUCUCUCGUCUGAGGACCAUGCAAUUUGUUGGAACAGAGAGACCUUGGCUAAGUAAGUUCAGCAUCUAGUUCUUACUGCAGGUCCAACCCUUGUAGUUGUUCCAUGGUGUUUCCAAUGGCACUUAAAUUUAUGUUAUCAUUAGCUUUGGAUAUUUUAUUAAUUUAAGUCUGUAUUAUAUUGGAAUGUAUAUUUCUUUUUGAAUUGGUUUCAUGUUCUUGGUUCUCUUAAUCAGAUCUAUAUGGGAAUAGGAUCCGACCUGUUGCUCCCUUUGGAAGUGUUAGCAGUACACCUUUCACUGAUCCUUCUCUGAUACAUCGAUGUUUGCCAGAUGAGUUGCUCUUGGAGGUACUGUUUUGUUUCUAUCUGUAUUGCACAAAAUACAUCUAGGCAUGCUACUUGAAUUCAUUCUUUGUUUUUCUCUAUGGUUGACAAGAUGUUCAAGUAGCAAGGCCAGAAUUAGAGGUCAUUGCAGUAACUUAUUAAUACACUGAAGAACCAUAAUAUAUUGUCUAUACAUCAUAGAAUGCAGAAACUCAAAACAUCUUUUUGUAACAUUUUAUUUCACUUGAUUUUUCGUUUGUUUCAUAGGUAUGGUAGGCUUUGUAACCUUUUUGUCACUUCUUUCCAAGCUCAUAAUUAGCUCUCAUCUCUCAAACAAUUGCUUGAACUCGUGUCAUGAAAAUAAUAAUACUGAAUUGCAUAUGGAUGGUUGUAAUUAGGUUUUCUCAAGAAUGAAUCCCUACACUUUAGGGAGGGCGGCCUGCGUUUGUCGCAAAUGGAGGUACGCUAUUCGGAAUCCCAACUUGUGGCGCAAUGCAUGCCUGAAAAUUUGGCAGGUACUAGUAAUUUUCAGAAAUAGUUGAUAGCUGUUUUUUUUGUGAACGAUUUUGUCACUGAUUCAUAUAAACCUGCUUAUGAAGGCUUCUGGAGUGGAGACAAACUACAGAAUUGUCCAUUCUCUCUAUGAUGGUUCUUGGAGGAAAAUGUGGGUCUGGAGACCAAGGAUUCGAAAUGAUGGUAAUGCUUCAACAUUUUACCAUGAACAUGUGACCAUAAACAUACUUAUAGACUGUGGUUGCUUAUAGUUGCAUCGAUGUACUGUGAUAAAUCU